RNAcentral lists this ribosomal RNA (484 nucleotides) under uncultured bacterium. RNAcentral's name for it is "partial 16S ribosomal RNA". It matches the Rfam family "Bacterial small subunit ribosomal RNA", at positions 29 to 507 of the family's 1533-position model. The record is from RNAcentral.
AUUGAACGCUGGCGGCAGGCCUAACACAUGCAAGUCGAGCGGAUGAAGUGAGCUUGCUCCUGGAUUCAGCGGCGGACGGGUGAGUAAUGCCUAGGAAUCUGCCUGGUAGUGGGGGAUAACGUCCGGAAACGGGCGCUAAUACCGCAUCCGUCCUGAGGGAGAAAGUGGGGGAUCUUCGGACCUCACGCUAUCAGAUGAGCCUAGGUCGGAUUAGCUAGCUGGUGGGGUAAAGGCCUACCAAGGCGCCGAUCCGUAACUGGUCUGAGAGGAUGAUCAGUCACACUGGAACUGAGACACGGGCCAGACUGCUACGGGAGGCAGCAGUGGGGAAUAUUGGACAGUGGGCGGAAGCCUAGUCCAGGCAUGCCGCGCGUGUGAAGAAGGUCUUCGGAGUGUAAAGCACGUUAAGUUGGGAGGAAGGGCAGGAAGUUAAUACCUUGCCGUAUUGACGGUACCAGCAGAAGAAGCACCGGCUAACUACGUG